Molecule: long non-coding RNA, 194 nt
Organism: Xenia sp. Carnegie-2017
Lineage: Eukaryota; Metazoa; Cnidaria; Anthozoa; Malacalcyonacea; Xeniidae
Exons: 4
Source: RefSeq, a predicted model, not a curated record
GUUAGUUAUGAAGUGAAUGGAGUUUUCGCCGUUAUUUCCUUUUUGGAUUUUGAUCGUUCCCUCCACACCAUAGAAAGGAAUUUUUUUUCUUCCACAUUAUCAAGCUGAUGUUUUAUCAAAGUCUCACAUCUACAAAGGUGAUACUGUGUCUUUUUACAUCCUGGAAAACAAAAGUUCAUAAACCUCUAUAGAAA